CCUCAAUGGCGGCAGCGCAGAUAUUAUUAGUUCCGGAUGCUCUCUGCUGCGUAUCAUCCGUCCCAAACAGCUUCCAAGUAGAACAUAUAAACAUGAAACAGAGUGCACCCCAUCGUGGAUCGAACGGUGUGCGUACCCUUGGAGCAAGCACUGAAAUUCCAGACUCAAACUCAUCGUUCAUUCACCACACCGACUGCGGUUGGCCAGUCCCGAUCUGUGGUCAGCUGUUUGAGGAAGAAAAAAAAAUAUGACGGCGGUGCCAUCAAUAAAACGAAUUUCCGUUGGAGCAAACACCCCGUUUGAAAGGUUCAACAGCAGAAAAAUGUGUUUGAGAUAUAUCAACUAUUAUGGGGAUGUAAGCCUCCUAAAGAAACAAAAUAUGAUCAGAAAACAAUGUGUCAAAUGUCUGAUAUCUUAAAAAAAUAAUUGAA
Long non-coding RNA from Armigeres subalbatus, 431 nucleotides. RefSeq lists it as uncharacterized. The record is from RefSeq and is a predicted model, not a curated record. The transcript has 3 exons. Lineage: Eukaryota; Metazoa; Arthropoda; Insecta; Diptera; Culicidae.